Long non-coding RNA from Sus scrofa (pig), 932 nucleotides. RefSeq lists it as uncharacterized. The record is from RefSeq and is a predicted model, not a curated record. NCBI's taxonomy places the organism in Eukaryota, Metazoa, Chordata, Mammalia, Artiodactyla, Suidae.
UCCAGGCCUAACGGCGACGGCGGAAGUGGGCCCCGGGUCAGCCGGGAGAUUCGAAGCAAGGGAGCAGCAUCAGAGGAUUAGGAGAGGCGAAAUGACUUGACUCCUGAGCUGAAGAGGCAGAACUGGAGAGUAUCAAUUUUAUUGCGGCGUGUCCAACCACAAGAUCUCGAGGAGUAGAGGGGGACAUUUCCCCUCCCUGACAAAAGAUUUGCCCUUAGAUCACAGACUGAUUUUCACUGUGCGUUGAAGCCAUUCAUCACAAGAACUGCCACAGCCCACGCUGUACCCAGCUGAUGGCUGGGCCCUGAGAGCUGUGCCUUCACCAAACCCGAGGCCGCUUUUUACCCCCGUGACGCGCCCACUAGGGGGCGCAAUCCUCAUCCUUAAGGUGCGGCGGGUCCUCUGGGUCCCCUUGGGGCCUACUGCAAGGGGCCCGGCCCUGGAAUGCGGAGGAGUUUGAGGAUAACAGCCAUUGUUGGACAGGCCUCCAAGUAUAUUUACAAAGUUAACGCGGCACCGCUUUCUUUGAUGGAAUGGUCUAAAGGUAUAAUAAAGUAGACUUUCGAGUUCUCACACGCCUCUUGCAUUAAUUUUAUUGACGAGAACUAUCUCUUUGCCUUCUUUUUUGGAGUGGGGAGAGGACAAUGAGAGGAGCAAACUAGGUCCUGCUUUUCUUAACACCAACGUUUUCAAAACAUUAAGCAAUAGUCAAUUAAAUGAAAGUACCUCUUGGGAUUGCCUCAAAGAAUGGGGGUGGGGAAGGGAGUCUUGUGGGGGAGUGGAUGAUGUCAGUUGUGCCAGUGUGAUGGCUACAAUGAUAAUUUAUGUUACCUCUUCCUUGGGCUUAUUUGAAAUUGUCAUUGAUAAAAUAUUCACAGACGUCUCAACAGGGAGCUCUAAAGGGCCACCGAACCUCAAAAAAAAAAAAAAAA